GCGCGCGCAGGCGGUUCCUUAAGUCUGAUGUGAAAGCCCACGGCUCAACCGUGGAGGGUCAUUGGAAACUGGGGAACUUGAGUGCAGAAGAGGAGAGCGGAAUUCCACGUGUAGCGGUGAAAUGCGUAGAGAUGUGGAGGAACACCAGUGGCGAAGGCGGCUCUCUGGUCUGUAACUGACGCUGAGGCGCGAAAGCGUGGGGAGCGAACAGGAUUAGAUACCCUGGUAGUCCACGCCGUACACGAUGAGUGCUAAGUGUUAGAGGGUUUCCGCCCUUUAGUGCUGCAGCUAACGCAUUAAGCACUCCGCCUGGGGAGUACGGUCGCAAGACUGAAACUCANAGGAAUUGACGGGGACCCGCACAAGCGGUGGAGCAUGUGGUUUAAUUCGAAGCAACGCGAAGAACCUUACCAGGUCUUGACAUCCUCUGCUACUUCUAGAGAUAG
Molecule: ribosomal RNA, 446 nt
Filed under: Priestia endophytica
Lineage: Bacteria; Bacillati; Bacillota; Bacilli; Caryophanales; Bacillaceae
Description: bacterial SSU rRNA
Rfam family: Bacterial small subunit ribosomal RNA
Source: RNAcentral